GAGCGCGAUUAAAAUAAAUAAUAUAUAUAUAUAUUAUGGUCUAUAAUGUUUUUACAUAAAUUAAGGUUAGGUUGAACUAAUGAAUUGCUUGCUAUAUUUUAUCGUUAUAGUUGUUUAUCGUUUAGUUUUUAACUGUUAUUUUUAUUUAUAAUCGUAUGUACUAUAUAUAAAGUGUAGCUAAAUAUGAAGAACGCCAAGAAUGGUUUGCUUUUUCUCCGUCUAUCCAUACUGAAAAACUCAUCUUACGAUCUACGAAAAAUUACGUCUUUGUAAAAGACGUAACCAACGCGGCUAUUGUAUACAUGUACAACUGCUACCAUACCUAUACUGUGCGCGCAACCGACUGCGUACGCCAAAUAUUCAUUAACGAUUUUUAGAAAAACACUUUGUUAAACGUUUGUCGGUAUUCUUUAUCACUGCCGUCUACUGCCAGUUCUACGUGUAUAUGCACUACACACCGUCACUUCGUGGUGCUAUAUUUAAUAUACAGAUUAAUGCUCUAAAACAGGCACCGGCAACCCGCGGCCCUCGGAACAUUUUUCUGCAGCCCACCAAGUAUAUUAUUUCAUAGUGUUUAAAAUUUCAAUUUUUUAUCUUAAAUUGAUAUAAAUUUAAUUUAAUCAUGACUUUAAUAUAACAAUGUGCACAUGUCAUGACAUAAGCUAUGAACAAGAACGUAAUAUAAUCGUAUAUAAUGUAUAUAUCGUAAUAUACAUAAUAAAUUAUAUUUUUUAAUAUUUUAUUUUUGUAUACGGCCUUUGAUGAAAAACUGAAAAAAAUUAUGGCCCAUGUAGGUAAAAUGGUU
Long non-coding RNA from Rhopalosiphum padi (bird cherry-oat aphid), 805 nucleotides. RefSeq lists it as uncharacterized. The record is from RefSeq and is a predicted model, not a curated record. The transcript has 4 exons. NCBI's taxonomy places the organism in Eukaryota, Metazoa, Arthropoda, Insecta, Hemiptera, Aphididae.